RNAcentral lists this ribosomal RNA (492 nucleotides) under uncultured bacterium. Its description in RNAcentral is "partial 16S ribosomal RNA". It matches the Rfam family "Bacterial small subunit ribosomal RNA", at positions 29 to 507 of the family's 1533-position model. The record is from RNAcentral.
AGUGAACGCUGGCGGUAGGCCUAACACAUGCAAGUCGAACGGCAGCACAGUAAGAGCUUGCUCUUACGGGUGGCGAGUGGCGGACGGGUGAGGAAUACAUCGGAAUCUACUUUUUCGUGGGGGAUAACGUAGGGAAACUUACGCUAAUACCGCAUACGACCUACGGGUGAAAGCAGGGGAUCUUCGGACCUUGCGCGAUUGAAUGAGCCGAUGUCGGAUUAGCUAGUUGGCGGGGUAAAGGCCCACCAAGGCGACGAUCCGUAGCUGGUCUGAGAGGAUGAUCAGCCACACUGGAACUGAGACACGGUCCAGACUCCUACGGGAGGCAGCAGUGGGGAAUAUUGGACAAUGGGCGCAAGCCUGAUCCAGCCAUACCGCGUGGGUGAAGAAGGCCUUCGGGUUGUAAAGCCCUUUUGUUGGGAAAGAAAGGCAGCAGGUUAAUACCCCGCUGUUCUGACGGUACCCAAAGAAUAAGCACCGGCUAGCUUCGUG